GGCCAGUCAUGUUCUGUAAGCCUUUUCCUCCUGGUGUUUCAGAUAUUGGUGUUUGAGCACGAGUGUUCCCUUUUAAUCCUAGAGCGAUGUCAACCUGCGGUACUCAGAACAAGGAGUGGGAAAGGCGUGCGGCCAAUUUCUGCUUUCGUUUGAAUCUCCUGAACAUUUUCUUUCGUAUUUGCUGCUGCUACAUAUAGGUUCUUUGUUUCAAAGGCACCUUAAAGGGCCCUUGGCAGCACAAUCCAGGCAAGAUAACUCUCCCCCAAAACGGAAGAAUGUCUCCACUGCAAACACACAACCAAGAGAGGGAGGCAAGCACGCAACUAACAAUGCAGGACCAGAGACAAAGCCUCAGAAUCCUUCUUGACACAAUAUUGCAGGCAGCAGCAUCUGAGUUCAAAAGAAAAAAACCCAUUUGGAGAAGCUGACCUAGGUGAAGACUGCCUAAUCCAGGUGCCCAAGCAUUUAAAGCUUGUUUCUCUGCAGAACUCAUUCAAUAAAUAUUAAUACAUCUACCAUAUGUGGGCACAUUGUAUUCCACAGUGCAGUGGCAAGCAAGCUGGACAACGUUCAGAGCCCUUGGGAAGCUUACAUUCUGGAAGAGAAGGCAGGCAACUAGCAAGUCAUGAAACCUAUCACUGCCCUGAGAGAGAAUAACCCAGGAGGCUACACUGGACAAGAUGGUCCUGGAAGAUUGCACUGAGGAGGUGACAGUUAAGCCGAGAAGGCUUAACUGGCACGUGCAAAGGUCCUGAGGAAGGAAGGAGGCAUCUGCACUGGCUGAAGGCAAGUGAUGGAAGCAGAGAAGGUAAGAGAUUAGAUGGAGAAGUGGGAAGUCUCUCUUCCCUUCAGCACUAGAGGUACGAGGGCUAAAAGAGAAGAAGGAAUGAAUGACUGAUUAAUUGUGCUAGGCUCAGGUACAGAUUAAUCAGAUAAAGGUGUCGUUUGAAGUCCUGACAUAGAGAGCCUAGCCCAGAACAGCUGGAUCUGGAAUUGGCUCUAAACAUGGGCAACACCACUUUGGGGCUCAGUGUUUGCUUACUGGGCCUCUUGCUAACCUUAACAUCAGGCCCUGCUAGUAGUAAGCUUUGCCCAGAAAAGCAGGUGAGUGGCAAGCUAUUUGCAGGAGUGGCGACUACCGCGGAACAGCAAAGAUGCAGGCUGACCUCACAGACUUCUUUCUGAACUCUCCCCAUAUGUUUGGCAGAGCUAAAAGAGCUGCCCCAGCACCAUCCAGCCAGGUGCCUGGUACUGGUACCCACAUGUUGGCAGAUGAAAAAUGACUACUAUAAAAUCUAUAUUCCCAGGGGUCUUCACCACUCUGCUGGAUUGGUCACGAUUCCUUCUUUUUACAAGACGACCAUUCUGCCUCUGGUUGCAAAACUGCACCCUCUGAAGCUGCUGCUCACCCAUUGGAAGUAACAUACCCUCUGCCGCUACAAAUCCAUUAACUUCUGAUGGAGCCGUUCCAGUGCCCUUCAAAGAACCUGGCCCCUGUAUCUCUUUAAAGGUCCAGAAACAAAUAUUUGAAAACUGCCUGUUCCUAGCACCAGAGUUGGAUACAGAUCUUUAAAGCUCUCUAGCCUAAACCUCCAUGUGACAUUUGUAUUUCUUCUGCCACACUGCUUCCAAGGGGUACUCGUGCCCUGGCUUGAAUGCUCAAGGGAAGAGGAUCUUACUACAGUGGUGUGUUUCAGAGGCUGGAAAACCACCAAGGAAGCUGACCUCUGGCUGUCCCACCGUUAAUCAUCUUUUGAGGGAGAAGCUUGAGAGGAAACCAAAACAACAGGUUGGCAUCCUGGGGUGUGUUUUGGAGUAUGUUUGAGGUUGUCCAUCAACCGGUGAGAACCCAUGGCCAAACCCUCUCUCCCAGCUGGCCCUGCAGUGACCCCCACACACCUGCCUUUGGGAAAGGUGGGCAUCUGCACCCCUCCCCGUAGAAGACUUAGCUUGAUGCCUGCAGGUUCUACGAAGUUCCUUCUCAUUGUGUGCAUUCUUCUCCGUGGCUUAAUUGUAUGUGUGCACAGGCUGUGUCAAAUGGAGUUGCCUUUCCUCUGCUCACUGCGUAUUACAUUUUUAAUCAGUAUAUAUAAUUACUUAACACAAGCUGCCAGGCCAGAUUUUCUGAGCAUUAGUCUAAUUAACUUAAGCUUGAUAAUUAUAUUUCAGAUACCAUAGCAGUACACACGGAAUCUGCACAUUCUGCCACCAGCUUAUUUGAUUCCGAUAACAUGUUUUCUCAGACAGUGGCUUAGUUUUGACUUGUUUUCUAAAAAAUGGCCAUCUGAUAAUUAUUUUGGUUUCAAAGUUUCCCCUCAGAUGAAAUCAUUCUGCUACUAAAGAGAGCUUCUGGAGUGAUUAAUACAGACUGGACUGAAAUAGAUUCCUGUGUAUUUUUAUACAAAUCUAUUUUUGCUAAUAUAAACUCACACUGAGGUGAAAUGAAAGAGUUCUGAGGGUCAAAUGGCAGAAUCUUUUAUGUUUCAACUGACCUAUGUUUGGCCUUUUCUAUUUCUAUUGAUAAAAAAUGAGAGGAAAGGAGAAAUAAAAAACAAACAAACAAAGAGAAACUCCAAGACUUGUAAGGAAGAAAGCUGAGCUUCUGGUUUGAAUUAGGGUAUGCUAAAAUCCCACACUAAUAAUAUCCGAUUCCCCUAGGGCUUACUAUGUGCCGGGCACUGUAUUAAGCUAUUUUUGUGGAUUAUCUCAUCUAGUCAUCCUAACAACCCUGCAUCGUAGGGGUAUGUGUUAUGAGGUGUAUUGUAUACCCUCAAAAUACAUGCUGAAGCCCUAACCCCCUGUACCUCAGAGUGUAACUUUGUUGGAAAUAGGGUCUUCACAGAGGUAAUCAAGGCACAAGAAGAGCACUAGAGUGGGCUCUAGUCCCCUAUGACUAGUGUCCUUCUACAAAGGGAAAAUUGGGGCGAAGAGAACAGCCAUGCGCACAAGACCAUUGUGUGAGGAUGAAGACAAGGGUUGGAGUGACAGGUCUACAAGUCAAGCGAUGCCAAAGAUUGCAACAAACCACCUGCAGUGAGGUGGAGGCACAGAACAGAUUCUCCCUCACAGCCCUCAGAAGGAACCAACUCUAUUGUCACCUUCGUCUCAGACUUCCAGCCUCCCAA
This is a long non-coding RNA of Lemur catta (Ring-tailed lemur), 3125 nucleotides long. RefSeq lists it as uncharacterized. Lineage: Eukaryota; Metazoa; Chordata; Mammalia; Primates; Lemuridae. The transcript has 3 exons. The record is from RefSeq and is a predicted model, not a curated record.